AGUUUUGAGAAGGGGGGGAAACUAACCAAAAAUUUCAAUCUCCCUCCCACUAAAGGUCAGUUUGGUCGCGUUGGAUUUACGCGCUACCCACCCCCCUUCACGCAAAUUGCCUCCUUAUUACCUCAGCGCCUCUCUCUAUUUCUGGGUUUGUUCUAUUUUCCGCCAUCGUCUCUCUUCCUCUUCCAAUUCAAAUUCUCACCCCCAACAAACCCUUAAAAUCAAUAAACAAUGAGGAAAGGUACAAAGAGAAAGGCUAGAGAAGUAGGAGGAAGAAAAGGCAAGUCCAAGGAAGAGGAGAAGGUUAGUAGCCAAGAACAAACCGCAACCACCGAAGAAGCGACCAACAAGAAUGAGACCGCCGAAGCCCAAUCCCAAUCAGCUGCGGAGCAAGGAGAAUCUGUUCAGAAAGAAGAGCCUAAGAACAAUGACAAAGGAGGAGAGCCUAGCAAAGGUGUUGUUAAGCGCGGAGCUAAACGAGCCAAGAUUGCUAAGCCUCAAACUGAGACUGAGUAUUUCCCUGAUAAGCGUAAUUUGGAAGAUCUAUGGCAAGAGGUUUUUCCUGUUGGCACAGAGUGGGAUCAGAUAGACAUGGUUUACCAAUACAAAUGGAAUUUCUCGAAUCUCGAAGAUGCAUUUGAAGAAGGCGGAGAAUUGCAUGGAAAGAAAGUGUAUCUUUUUGGUUGUACUGAACCACAAUUGGUUUUUUUUCAGGGCCAAUCAAAAGUGACGUGUAUACCUGUUGUGGUUGCUGUUGUAUCUCCUUUUCCACCUUCUGAUAAAAUUGGANGUAUGUCUUUAUGGCUUCAAACAACAUACGUUCCUUUGGAACAACGGUAUUGUCCCUCAGCUAAUUUUCUUUCUUGUUGCCUCUCUUGUAUGUCUUAUGUAACUGUUUUAUAUCUUGGCUUCUGAUGCUGCUUUUAUUCUUUGGCUGACCAACAGGGAAUCUCAAGUUGAAAGACUCAAAUCCCAAAUUUUUAUUCUGAGGUGUACUCAAAGAAGGGCUGGUUUAAAACACUUGAAGCUGGAGCGAGUGAAGAAGUUUGAAUAUUGCUUACCUUAUUUCUAUCAGCCGUUUGCAGAAGAUGAACUUGAACAGAGCACCAUCGUGCAGAUCUUAUUCCCAACAGAACCGCCUGUGUUUUGCGAGUUUGAUUGGGAAUUUGAUGAGCCAGAGGAAAUGGCAGACAAAUUUAUUGAGGCAGAGGAGUUAGCGGCAGAUAAAAAAGAUGAAUUUAUGGAAUUUGUGAAGGAGAAGGUUCGUGAAGGAAAGAAGAAUAAUCGAGAGGCAAGAGAAGCCAGGAAAAAAGCUAUACAGGAGAUGAGUGAAGAAGCAAAAGCUGCAUUUCAAAGUAUGAAGUUUUAUAAAUUUUAUCCAAUGCCCUCACCUGAUGCUCCUGAUGUAUCUCAGGUCAAGUCUCCAUUCAUAAACAGAUACUAUGGAAAGGCUCACAAAGUUUUCUGAAUGAUGCAUCAAAAUAUAAGCGACUAUUGUCGAACCAUUUACUUUUGGAUGCCUACUUUGGAGCUGCAUGAUGGAAUCAUACUGCUCAACUUGGCUUGUACCUUGAAGCAACCAUUUGGAUUUAUGGAACUAUUUGAGGAUGUAGAAGAUCCACAGAAGCAAAAUGUAGUUUUUUCGUCUCAACCUUAUAGCUAGAGUUCAGUAAAAAAUUUUGGCAACGUGUUCUUGUCUUCGCUAGCUGUGAAUUUUUCUCAUUUUGGAUACAAAUGUAAUCCUUUUCAACUGAAGCUUCAGUUAUCAUGUUCACCCCUACAGACAAUAGGAGCUGCAAUUAAGAGUUGGUUCCCAGUUUGAAUUUAAGCUAUAAAUUUUUAGUUUCAAAUAAAUUUGAGUGAAUGUUGUAUCCACUCAUGGAGGUGUUCUUCUGA
Nicotiana tabacum (common tobacco) is the source of this 1893-nucleotide non-coding RNA. Lineage: Eukaryota; Viridiplantae; Streptophyta; Magnoliopsida; Solanales; Solanaceae. The record is from RefSeq and is a predicted model, not a curated record.